This 73-nucleotide transfer RNA is filed under the name Clostridiales bacterium. RNAcentral describes it as "tRNA-Arg". It matches the Rfam family "tRNA". Rfam says of the family: Transfer RNA (tRNA) molecules are approximately 80 nucleotides in length. Their secondary structure includes four short double-helical elements and three loops (D, anti-codon, and T loops). Lineage: Bacteria; Bacillati; Bacillota; Clostridia; Eubacteriales. The record is from RNAcentral.
GCUUCCUUAGCUCAGUGGAUAGAGCGUUCGCCUCCGGAGCGAAAGGUCGUAGGUUCGAAUCCUGUAGGAAGCG